AAAUGAACGUAUAAACUCAAGGUUUCCUCUAAACUUUUCUCUUUUUCAUCACGAUUUCUUGGAAUUCCCGGUCAAAAACCAGUGAAACUUACAGAGGCGUGUAAUGGCGGAGGUGGAAGAAAUAUCGAAUAUUGCGAUGGUCGUUGCUCAGUAUUGGCAGACUGUAUUUUUCAUACUAAUAAUUUUCACCACUUACAUAUCAUUAAGAAACAUCUGUCGCAUGAUAUUGAAAGCCUGAAGGCGCCAUUAAUCCUACCAAUGUCUAAAAAGUAAUUAUGAUGCAAGAUUGCCACGCGCAUGUAUGGAGUGGUGUACUUUUGGGCUGUGUGAUCUAUGUUCUUCUUGUGGGGAUCUUGGUUAUCAUAAACGAAGCAUUUUGCGAAUCAUUCUUCUUAAAGCAAAGGCGUUGUUUGGAUGGACGAGAUCCCCUUGAUGUUGAUUUGAAUGAAAGACAACCGGUAUAAGUGCUCGUGGUCCUUAAGUAACCCCAGUCCUAAAGACCAUAAGAUCCUAAUGGAUACCAGUGGUGUGGUCAAGCGCUCACAGAUGGCGCAACACGUUCUCUACAAAACGUUUGUCGCAACGUAAACAGGGGUACUACUCCGAAGAAUUUUCAACAAUAACUUGUCUCUAAAGAGAAUAAAAAAGCAUGAGGAUUCCUUAAAGUUAUAUUUUUAUGUGAAACACCUAAUUAAAGCAUUUUUAAUAAAUACAAAACCUCA
Hyposmocoma kahamanoa is the source of this 722-nucleotide long non-coding RNA. RefSeq lists it as uncharacterized. The record is from RefSeq and is a predicted model, not a curated record. The transcript has 3 exons. NCBI's taxonomy places the organism in Eukaryota, Metazoa, Arthropoda, Insecta, Lepidoptera, Cosmopterigidae.